This 65-nucleotide transfer RNA is filed under the name Sophonia linealis. RNAcentral's name for it is "tRNA-Thr". The record is from RNAcentral. Lineage: Eukaryota; Metazoa; Arthropoda; Insecta; Hemiptera; Cicadellidae.
GUUUUAAUAGUUUAAAAAAACAUUAAUUUUGUAAAUUAAAAUUAGAAAAAUUCUUCUUUAAAACA